Non-coding RNA from Petromyzon marinus (sea lamprey), 3433 nucleotides. The record is from RefSeq and is a predicted model, not a curated record. NCBI's taxonomy places the organism in Eukaryota, Metazoa, Chordata, Hyperoartia, Petromyzontiformes, Petromyzontidae.
GGGGAAAGCAGAGCAUUAAAAGUAAAUGAGCCGGGCGGACUAUGAACGAUGGCGGAGCGGCACAACGAUGAACAGAAAAUCCCGGGGCGUGUUUGCGGCGGGCGAAGAAGAUGACCGGCGAAAGACGCGCGGGCGCCAUUGCGCCGAGCUAGGGGUUGGCGGCUGAGUGCCGGGGGGUGAGGAUUUGUCACCGCGCUGAAUGCCGCAUUGCGGGGUUUUUGCCGCCGUACACACAAAAGACGUUGCACAUCGUGCCACGCCGUGCAAGAUAAUUAGACGGGUCCGUGGACUUGAGCUUGACUCGGUUGCGCACACACCAAAGCCGGCGCAGUCAGCUUUAGUCGCUAAUUUUUUAAAAGGCCCCCCCCCCCCCCCCCCGCAAACAAGUGCAAAAAAGUUUACAAUGACGCGACAAAGGCAAGACAAAUGUUGCUGAAUACAAAAUGAGCUGCUUCACGGACUGUUAUCGCUGCAAAAAAAAUGUUAGAAUGAAACGCAUUGUAUUGUAUCGCCUGAUUUAGCUACAGACUUGAGAUGCCAUUGGAUAAAACUGCCGCUGCCUGGCUGUUAGUACAGACGGGCAAGACAAUGGAGCAGCAGGCGCUCCCAGACACAGACAAAGGGACGUCUGUCUCGCUCUCCCCUUCCCUCCGCCCCCCCCCUUCCCCACCCCACCCCUUAAUCCUGUCUGAGCCAAGGCCAAGUUCAUUACCAUCAAGCCACCAAUUAACGGCUCUUACUAAAACAGCCACUGAUUGGACCGCAGGAGAGACACCAAAGUAUCGCAUAGACACAUACUUUGUAGUACAAGCAUGUUUCAUUGGCUAAUGAGAUUCGCACAGUAACGAGCCGCGCUAGCAGACGGAGCUGACUUGGUCGUUCGCGUUAGUGGGGAAAGUACUCGUGGCUAAUAUCGCCGUUGCCAUAGUGCGGCUCAUUUGCCUAGAGCUUAAAUCAUGCAGAAGCGCCGGUUCUUACCCAUGAUGAGACGUUGGCUUGCUGCCCAGCGUUAAGUCCGUUUCCCACCGUCCGAAACAAAGGACAAGCCAGCGUGCCGGGCGGCCGAGCAGGCGACGUGGAGCGGCGGCGGCGGCGACGAGGAGGCAGCACCGGCACACCGGGCCACGCCGGGGCGGCGAGCCACCGGCGUCCCCCCCCCCCCCCCCCCCCCCCAGCCGCCAGCGUCCCCGCCGGGUCCCGCACGACGAAGCGGACCGGCCGUCGACGCUGCCGGGGCCCUCCGAGGGACUUCCACUACCCCCCCCCCCACUCCCGCCCCCCCCCAGCCCCACACCGUCCUGCCGGCUGAGUAGAACCUUUGACUGUCUCUCUCUGUCUGUUACCCAUGAUAAUGAAAACACCGGGACGAGGUAGCACGAGCGAGGGACGGCCGCGGCGUGUGCGACGGCUGAAGCUAAAAGCUAACAAGAAAAAGAGACUUAGCGGUGCUGGUGUAAUUGGAUAGAAGAACGGUAACGCAGAAAUUGCGAGCGCGGAAAAAACAAGGAACGAAGAGCCGAACAAAUACGGAGAAUACAUCGUUCAGAGCUAUGCCGAAUAUUGUUUUACUGUACUUGCAGACUUCGGGAGCUGUAUUCGAAUGGAAAUGUGGGAUAUUUAAAGCAAUAGUUUAAUAUCGACAUCAGGGCAAAAUCAUAAAUACGUACGUUCGAGGAAAUACGACAUCGCAUAUAAACCAGAAAAGUAAGUUUAAAAAAAAAAGUCUAUAUUUGAAAAGAAAUAUGUACGUAAAAGUUAUACGCCAACAUUGCUGAACUACUUUUUAAAAGUUUAUUUUAAUCUGCGUAUAUAUAUAAUUGCCAAAUGUAAUAAAAACAAAGCAUCGAUAGUAUUUAUUGUUGUACUCAGCUGUGCUUCAUAAGCGAUUCAUACUGGACACUUACACAAGCGGCGAACUUGAAUGGAGACAUGCCCAGUAUAUAAAAAAGCCCAUUGUUUAUGCAAGCACAAUACUAUAUGUUAAAUGACAAAAAUUUGUUUUAAGGAGCAAUUAAGGAAACAUUGAGUGCAUUAUUAUUGCUUAUUACUAAAUGAUUGCUAUUACUAAGUCACCACCCUGCAUCGCUAAUAUACAUGUUGUCACGUCUGAAAUGUAGAACAGAAAAACAUAUUUUACUCGUUAAAAGGGCCUCACCUCGCAUUACGAUUUAGACUGUGAUAUCAUAUUUAAGACGGUGGUAUGAGUUGAUAGUAUAUUAUUAUUUCCUUGAUGUUGAAUUAAUGAGAAGUUUAUAGCGCACAUAAUUAGAAGUGUAUAACGUAUUCCGUUUGAACAAUUUGAGGGAAAUGCCAACUGUAUAACCUUACGCAAGGAUAUUUUGAAGUACUCGCGUCCCACAAAUUCUAGAUUUAUUAUAAAUAAUGAUUUUUCCAUCCAAUGUAAUGAAAAUUUAACGAGAAAUCGGAUAAUUUUACUAAUGCUGUCUUGUUUAGAGGAAACGCUUUGAACAUACACUGCGACGAUGCUGGUACGCACGCACUCUAUAUAUAUACACACACCAUAAAGCAGAAUGUAUAAAAACGAAAUUUUUAGUUUGUUCUCGCAAAAAGCAGGAAUUUAAUGAGACAUUUCCAUGAUAUGCAGUGUGCUAAACGGUUUCUGUAAAAUGGACGGAAUGCAUUUGAGGUGAAAGGCCUACACAAAUGACAAGUCGCACCUGGUAAAAUGCCUGAAGCAAAAACUUUAAAAUGUCUCUUGUAUACAGUGACUAAAGGUUUGAAAUUCGGGAGCGUUGCAAAAUGGAAAAGAAUCGAAUGACGUCUAUCCCUGCAAAGUCCAUGGUGAAGACAAUUGUGCGAAAGAAGCCCGUUAUGCAAAUAGAUAACGAACACUUAAAAGGCAUCAGUUAUAUCUUUAAAGACUGUGGUUUGUUAACACGGAAGGGCAUGCUGAAAAAUAAGUAUAUACAUAAUGCACUGAAAAUGUGAUGUCAUAUUGAUGUUACAGAUCUUCACAGUACUGUAUAUAAUAACAUGUAACUAUAUUAUUAAUGUGUUAACAUGACGAGAAAAAAUAUUGAAAUUGAUUUUAAAAAAUACCAAUGAGCAUUUUAUGAAAUAGCCCUAAACGUGAAUAAAGACAAUCUGUUCCUCUUCAGUGUGGAUGGGAAUUCUCUCAGAAGUUGGUAAUAUUUUGUGUUUAUUUAAUGCUAUAUAUUUGCCAAUUUGACCUAAACUGAUGGCACCAUCCAGGAUUGUGUAAUUAACGUACACAUUAUUUAACAAAAUAUCAUCCCAACUAUUUGCACACGUGCAGGUACUCGUCACACACUCUAAACCUGGGCCAAAGUUUAACAAAAUAACUCGACUUUUGAUUUUUGUACAAUUAUCGCGGAUAUAAAAUUGUCAUAUUUAAAAUGUACUUGCAUUGCGCAACCUGCAAUCUGGCAAAAUAAAUACUGAUUUGAGAUAC